GACGAACGCUGGCGGCGUGCUUAACACAUGCAAGUCGAACGGAAAGGCCCGGCUUUUGCGGGUUUUCCGUUGGCGGACGGGGGGUGAAAAACGCGUGUAUCCUCCCCUUAUCUUGGGGAUAUCUCUUGGAAACUGGGGCUAUAACCGGGUAGAAGAUCUUGCUCCUCGUUGGGGGUUGGAAAGUUUCGGCGGUUGGGGAUGGUAUCGAGGCUUACCAGCUGGUUGGGGGGGUAGUGGCUUACCAAGGCUUUGACGGGUAGCCGGCCUGGGAGGGUGACCGGCCACAUUGGGACUGAGAUACGGCCCAGACUCCUACGGGAGGCAGCAGUGGGGAAUAUUGCACAAUGGGCGGAAGCCUGAUGCAGCAACGCCGCGUGCGGGAUGACGGCCUUCGGGUUGUAAACCGCUUUCGCCUGUGACGAAGCGUGAGUGACGGUAAUGGGUAAAGAAGCACCGGCUAACUACGUG
This 468-nucleotide ribosomal RNA is filed under the name uncultured bacterium. RNAcentral's name for it is "partial 16S ribosomal RNA". It matches the Rfam family "Bacterial small subunit ribosomal RNA", at positions 28 to 507 of the family's 1533-position model. The record is from RNAcentral.